This 71-nucleotide transfer RNA is filed under the name Loxodonta africana (African savanna elephant). It matches the Rfam family "tRNA". Rfam says of the family: Transfer RNA (tRNA) molecules are approximately 80 nucleotides in length. Their secondary structure includes four short double-helical elements and three loops (D, anti-codon, and T loops). The record is from Rfam by way of RNAcentral. Lineage: Eukaryota; Metazoa; Chordata; Mammalia; Proboscidea; Elephantidae.
ACAGUGUUGGUUCAGUGGUAGAAUUCUCGCCUUCCAUGACAGAGACCUGGGUUCAAUUCCUGGCCAAUGUG